Molecule: long non-coding RNA, 2737 nt
Organism: Brachypodium distachyon (stiff brome)
Lineage: Eukaryota; Viridiplantae; Streptophyta; Magnoliopsida; Poales; Poaceae
Exons: 2
Source: RefSeq, a predicted model, not a curated record
ACCCCCGAUUCCCUUCCCUCGGGCGGCUAGGCCGCACUAGACCGUAGUCCCCUCGAGCCGCUGCCUCCACGAGAACCCUGGCUAGGGUUGUUCCACUGCCGCCGUCUCCUCCAGCCCGCGGCUCGCCGGUGGCAAGCGCCUGAUCCCUUUCCCACAAGACGCCUCGGACUGAUCCAACAUCUCCACGCGCCGGAGCUCCGCCCAUGGAGAACACCCCCUCCACUCGACCCCAUCCUACGCUUCGGCUCCCGGACAGCUUCGUCCUCUCCGCCGAUAAGCUCCCCCCGGUCUCCACCAUGGUGGCCGUCUCUCUUCCCGUCGUCGACCUCUCCCUGGGCCGUUACUAGGUCUGUCCCGCCGUCUUCGACACCAGCAAGGACCUCGGCUGGGCGAAGACUGCCAGGGCGACGUGCUCCCCGCGCACGGCCAGGUCGACGGCGAAGGCCAGCCCCAUCGUGGCCUUGACCAGCACCAGGGUCGUCCGGGCGGCAGCCGCCGAGGCGUGGGCCGCGGAGGCGGCGUGCAGAAUUGGUUGAUUUUGGAGGUCGAGCCGGAGUUGGGGCCGGGGUCGCCAGAUGCACGGCCGGGCGCACGAAGAACGCGCGCCAGAUGACAUGGGCCUUGCUCCUCACGGGCGUGGCCUUCGCGCUCAGGUGUGGCGGGGAGAGUUUCUCCCGGGAAGAACACGGCCCUGUGUGCGAGCUUCUACGUCUGCAUCCGGGUGUUCCUCCAGCUGUCCAUGCUGCUGCUAGCCGAGUAGCCGUAAAGGUCGCGGCCUACAUCCAGGGGUGGCACAACGCCAUCGUACGGGCUCUUUGCCGCCGCCUACACCUGCUGGAUGUGUGUCCGCCUCGAGUGGCACUGCAGUUUAAUCGUGCCCAAGGGCAUCAAGCCCGUGCCUCAGGCGACAAGGAGGACGUUGAGGCCGGCAGGAGGACUUCCCAUGGUUCUCAUGGGCUGCCCAUGUGCAACGAGCGGGAGGAUCAAGUAAUCAAGUAGAAAGGAGUGUCAAAUUGUGAAAUUAUGUGCAAUGUUGAAUGGGGUGUUCACGUUGACCUAGCUGACCUUGGGGCGGGGAAGAGACCGUCUGGGGACAGAGGAAGUUAAUGUCGCGGCGCUUCGACUCAACAGUGUCCUCGAGCCACGAGUGGUGGUCACUGUCGAUUAGAUGAGCUUCCCCGAUAGGCCAAUUGUUUUAUAAUAAAAGUUUGAGAAGCCAUGCGAAAUUCAGCUUAUAUGGAGGCUUUCCCAGUAGUAGGAUCAUAGGAGAACCUAUUGAGUUAUUUGCCAAAUUAAGUUACUGAUUUUACCUUGGCUUAGAUGUAUGGACUCGUGGUUGAAGCUGAACCAGUCCUAAGAGCUUCCAAAUAAGCUAAUCUUGAUAUGUCUUGCUCUUUCUGACAUUAUACUAUAAAGUUCUUCAAGACAACAGGAAGAGAUGGUUGGACUGCUCUGAUGUACUUCUUGCUGUUACUCUAGCUAAGAUUUUUUUUUCCAAUACAUGGUUAUCUGUAACACAUGCAAGCACUAAAGCUAUGCUUGCUGAUAACAAUUUUUGCACAGAUUAACAAUGUCCAGUGCUUUGCUUGAACAUUCCUAAGGUUUACUUCUUGAGAAAACUUGGAAUCACAGUUGUCGUCAAAAGUGGCUGGAUCAUCUAACAUUGUGGUAGCUAGCCAAGUUGGCACACUGGCUAUCUUUUCAUGUAUAUGACUUUUAUUUUGGGUGGUUUAUUCUUUCAAAACAGUUUUGAUGUGUUUGGUGUAUGAUGUGAGUACAGGCUGCAGAUGUCUCCUUUUAUUUAUUUAUUUUUCAACCCUAAUGUGUAACACUUCUUAUCUUAUAUAAAGGCAGUUCUUGUGGGCUACAAUACUUGAACAUGGUUUAUGCUAUUCAUGCAAAUCAAGAUGAAGAGGGUUGCUCCUUGCUCAGUUAGUAAUGAUUGUUCUUUUAGCAUUUGUUUUAAUGUUGCACGGUAUCAUCAUUGGUUUCUCAUGUCACAUCAUAUUUGUUGGUUCUUUUUGGCUUACCUUCCCUAUUUGUUAUUGAUUUAGGCAGAGGUCUAACUUUGUUAGUGAAAUUGCAUACCCCUUUGUUGUUGUUUGUCAUGGUGUUGACCUAUUAAGAUGCCUCGACUUUUAUAUGUUUGUAGUCAUUAUGUACAUUGUUUUCUUGCAGCUUUGUGUUGUGUGCCGAAGAAGUUGUUAUGUUGGCUUUGGCAAUAUAGGCAGUAUGGGAUGAGCGGAAGUUCAGUUUUUGGGACAGCAGAAUAUUUUGCGUGUUAUUAGAAAGUGAACAAAGUUUCAGUUUUUUCAGUACACACUGAAUAACUGAUGGUGGUUUGUGCAUGUAUUUGCAUCUGUUUUUCUUCAUUAUCAGUUUAAACUUCUUUUGCAGGGAUUGUGCAGAUAAAACUAUACGGAUGCUCCUAACUCUCCUAACUAUGAUAUAUCUCAUAUGUAUGUUGUUUGUAUAAUAUUAAUUUUCACAGAGUGUAUAAGAAUGCAAUGUAUCCAGACUAUCGAUCAGGGCAACUCACUAUUCCUAUACGAAACUGUCCGGCCAGGCCUUCUUCUUGUUGAGAAUAAUUAUUUAUGAUCAAUUAGAUUAAUUAUUAGUUAGUUAAUGAAUAAUUAGGCAGUUGGUUAUGUAACUGUUCGUGUCCCAAAUUUUGAGAUGCGAAGGCAAAAGUUUGAAACACCAAUGCAUGUAUUGAUGCCUCUUCACUUUGUAUAAA